RNAcentral lists this ribosomal RNA (562 nucleotides) under uncultured bacterium. RNAcentral describes it as "bacterial SSU rRNA". It matches the Rfam family "Bacterial small subunit ribosomal RNA", at positions 337 to 899 of the family's 1533-position model. The record is from RNAcentral.
UCCUACGGGAGGCAGCAGUAAGGAAUAUUGGUCAAUGGGCGGAAGCCUGAACCAGCCAUGCCGCGUGCAGGAAGACGGCCCUACGGGUUGUAAACUGCUUUUAUACGGGAAUAAACCCUGGUAUGUGUACCAGGCUGAAUGUACUGUAAGAAUAAGGAUCGGCUAACUCCGUGCCAGCAGCCGCGGUAAUACGGAGGAUCCAAGCGUUAUCCGGAUUUAUUGGGUUUAAAGGGUGCGUAGGCGGCCUGUUAAGUCAGGGGUGAAAGACGGUAGCUUAACUAUCGCAGUGCCCUUGAUACUGAUGGGCUUGAAUGUACUUGAGGUAGGCGGAAUGUGACAAGUAGCGGUGAAAUGCAUAGAUAUGUCACAGAACACCAAUUGCGAAGGCAGCUUACUAAAGUAUGAUUGACGCUGAGGCACGAAAGCGUGGGGAUCAAACAGGAUUAGAUACCCUGGUAGUCCACGCCCUAAACGAUGAAUACUCGAUGUUGGCGAUAUACAGUCAGCGUCAAAGCGAAAGCGUUAAGUAUUCCACCUGGGGAGUACGCCCGCAAGGGUGAAA